RNAcentral lists this ribosomal RNA (478 nucleotides) under uncultured bacterium. RNAcentral describes it as "partial 16S ribosomal RNA". It matches the Rfam family "Bacterial small subunit ribosomal RNA", at positions 28 to 523 of the family's 1533-position model. The record is from RNAcentral.
GACGAACGCUGGCGGCGUGCUUAACACAUGCAAGUCGAACGGUAAGGCCCUUCGGGGUACACGAGUGGCGAACGGGUGAGUAACACGUGGGUGAUCUGCCCUGCACUUCGGGAUAAGCCUGGGAAACUGGGUCUAAUACCGGAUAGGACUCCUGGCUUCAUGGUUGGGGGUGGAAAGCUUUUGCGGUGUGGGACGGGCCGGCGGCCUGUCAGCUUGUUGGUGGGGGAAUGGACUACCAAGGCGACGACGGGUAGCCGGCCUGAGAGGGUGACCGGUCACACGGGGACUGAGAUACGGCACAGACUCCUACGGGAGGCAGCAGUGGGGAAUAUUGCACAAUGGGCGCAAGCCUGAUGCAGCGACGCCGCGUGAGGGAUGACGGCCUUCGGGUUGUAAACCUCUUUCAGCUAUGACGAAGCGCAAGUGACGGUAGUAGCAGAAGAAGGACCGGCCAACUACGUGCCAGCCGCCGCAGUAA